Molecule: ribosomal RNA, 1980 nt
Filed under: metagenome
Description: bacterial LSU rRNA
Rfam family: Bacterial large subunit ribosomal RNA
Source: RNAcentral
AAAAGCAAGAAAGAGCGUAUGGUGGAUGCCUAGGCUCACGGAGGCGAUGAAGGACGUGAUAAGCUGCGAUAAGCUGCGGGUAGGUGCAAAUGACCUAUUAUCCGCGGAUUUCCGAAUGGGACAACCCGUCAGUCUGAAGGACUGUCAUCUUCAUGAAUUUGGAGAAGCGAACGCAGGGAACUGAAACAUCUUAGUACCUGCAGGAAGAGAAAAUAAAUAAUGAUUCCCCCAGUAGUGGCGAGCGACCGGGGAAGAGCCCAAACCGUGGUUGUGGCAACGCAUCCACGGGGUUGUAGGGCCGCGAUGUCGGACGAAAUCAGGUGAGCGGAAAUGUCUGGAAAGUCAUUCCGUAGAGGGUGAAAGACCCGUAUGCGAAGCCUGACGAACCGUAGCGGAACCCUGAGUAACGCGGAACACGAGAAAUUCUGCGCGAAUCUGCCGGGACCAUCCGGUAAGGCUAAAUACUCCCGUGAGACCGAUAGUGAACCAGUACCGUGAGGGAAAGGUGAAAAGCACUUCGAAUAGAAGAGUGAAAUAGUUCCUGAAACCAUGCGCUUACAAGCGGUCGGAGCUGAGCAAUCAGUGACGGCGUGCCUUUUGCAUAAUGAACCUACGAGUUGCCGUCGCCGGCAAGGUUAAGAAUCAUGAGAUUCCGAGCCGCAGUGAAAGCGAGCCUGAAUAGGGCGUUUGAGUCGGCGGAGGCAGACGCGAAACCAAGUGAUCUACACUUGGCCAGGAUGAAGUCCGGGUAACACCGGAUGGAGGUCCGCACCGAUAAGCGUUGAAAAGCUUCCGGAUGAGUUGAGUGUAGGAGUGAAAGGCCAAUCAAACUUGGAGAUAGCUCGUACUCCCCGAAAAGCAUUUAGGUGCUGCGUUUUACGAUUACGUCCAGAGGUAGAGCGACCGAUAGGAUGCGAGGGCUUCACCGCCUAUCAAGUCCUGACGAACUCCGAAUGCUGGUCGUAUGCAGUAGGGCAGUAAGGGGACGGGUGCUAAGGUCCGUUCCCGAGAGGAGAAGAAUCCGGACCGCCGUCUAAGGCCCCGAAAUUCCGCCUGAGUUAGUCUAACGAAGUCCGGUCCCUGUGACAGCUAGGAUGUUGGCUUGGAAGCAGCCAUUCAUUCAAAGAGUGCGUAACAGCUCACUAGUCGAGGGUCUGGGCAUGGAUAAUAAUCGGGUAUAAGGCGGAUGCCGAAGACGCGGGACAGUACAUUAAGUUGUAGUGUCGGUAGGGGAGCAUUCCGGUCAGCGUAGAAUCAAGGGGAUAACCCCUUGUGGAGCGUCCGGAAAAGCAAAUGUAGGUAUAAGUAACGAUUAGGGGGGUGAGAUCCCCCCCCGCCGUAAGACUAAGGUUUCCCGGGCAACGUCAAUCGGCCCGGGGUAAGUCAGGUCCUAAGUCUCAGCCGAAUGGCGAAGGCGAUGGCAGAUACGGUCAAGAUUCCGUAACUGCCGUACGGAGCGAUGCGGAGACGGAGGAGUGAAACUUCCGCGCACAGACGGAAUUGUGCGUUGAAUGGUGUAGGUGUUGAUCAUCCCAGGCAAAUCCAGGAUGAGAGCCGACCCUGAUAGUACGGAGCGUCCUUCGGGACAAUCCGAUAGUGAAGGUAACCAUACUCCCGAGAAAAUCCGCUAAGCUUAAUCCGUACGGCACCUGUACCGCAAACGGACACACGUAGUCGGGUAGAAUAUACUAAGGCGUUGAGAGAUUCACGGUUAAGGAACUAGGCAAAUUGACCCCGUAACUUCGGGAAAAGGGGUCCUCACCGUUGAGGUGAGGCGCAGAGAAUAGGUCCAGGCAACUGUUUAACAAAAACACAGGGCUGUGCUAAUUCGCAAGAAGAUGUAUACAGCCUGACACCUGCCCGGUGCCGGAAGGUUAAGAGGAGAUGUCAUUCGCAAGAAGAAGCAUUGAAUUGAAGCCCCGGUAAACGGCGGCCGUAACUAUAACGGUCCUAAGGUAGCGAAAUUCCUUGUCGGGUAAG